AACGAACGCUGGCGGCGUGGAUAAGACAUGCAAGUCGAACGAUGGCUUCAGGGUAGCAAUAUUCUGUAGUCGGAGUGGCGUAAGGGUGCGUAACACGUGGGUAAUCUGCCGUGAAGUUGGGGAUAACCCCGAGAAAUCGGGGCUAAUACCGAAUGUGGUUGCUGGGGGGCAUCUUUUGGCAACCAAAGCUGGGGACCGCAAGGCCUGGCGCUUUACGAUGAGCCCGCGGCCUAUCAGCUAGUUGGCGGGGUAACGGCCCACCAAGGCUAAGACGGGUAGCUGGUCUGAGAGGACGACCAGCCACACUGGAACUGAGACACGGUCCAGACACCUACGGGUGGCAGCAGUCGAGAAUUUUUCACAAUGGGCGCAAGCCUGAUGGAGCGACGCCGCGUGGGGGAUGAAGGGCUUCGGUCCGUAAACCCCUGUCAUUUGCGAACAAGGCGUCUGGCCUAACACGUCAGACGUUGAUAGUAGCGAAAGAGGAAGGGACGGCUAACUCCGUGCCAGCAGCCGCCGUAAGAC
This 525-nucleotide ribosomal RNA is filed under the name uncultured bacterium. RNAcentral describes it as "bacterial SSU rRNA". It matches the Rfam family "Bacterial small subunit ribosomal RNA", at positions 29 to 526 of the family's 1533-position model. The record is from RNAcentral.